Molecule: ribosomal RNA, 494 nt
Filed under: uncultured bacterium
Lineage: Bacteria
Description: partial 16S ribosomal RNA
Rfam family: Bacterial small subunit ribosomal RNA
Source: RNAcentral
GACGAACGCUGGCGGCGUGCUCAACACAUGCAAGUCGAACGGUGAAGCGCCUUCCUUUUUGGUGGGUGUGGAUGAGUGGCGAACGGGUGAGUAACACGUGAGUAACCUGCCCCCUUCUUCUGGAUAACCGCAUGAAAGUGUGGCUAAUACGGGAUAUUCUGGGUCUGUCGCAUGAUGGGUCUGGGAAAGAUAUUGUUUCGGUGGGGGAUGGGCUCGCGGCCUAUCAGCUUGUUGGUGGGGUGAUGGCCUACCAAGGCGGUGACGGGUAGCCGGCCUGAGAGGGUGGACGGUCACACUGGGACUGAGACACGGCCCAGACUCCUACGGGAGGCAGCAGUGGGGAAUAUUGCACAAUGGGCGCAAGCCUGAUGCAGCGACGCCGCGUGAGGGAUGGAGGCCUUCGGGUUGUGAACCUCUUUCGCCAGUGGAGCAGGCCUGCCUCGUUUGUGGGUGGGUUGACGGUAGCUGGAUAAGAAGCGCCGGCUAACUACGUG